Molecule: ribosomal RNA, 301 nt
Filed under: uncultured bacterium
Lineage: Bacteria
Description: partial 16S ribosomal RNA
Rfam family: Bacterial small subunit ribosomal RNA
Source: RNAcentral
CAGCCGCCACGGUAAUACGGAGGGAGCUAGCGUUGUUCGGAAUUACUGGGCGUAAAGCGCGCGUAGGCGGUUACUCAAGUCAGAGGUGAAAGCCCGGGGCUCAACCCCGGAACUGCCUUUGAAACUAGGUGACUAGAAUCUUGGAGAGGUCAGUGGAAUUCCGAGUGUAGAGGUGAAAUUCGUAGAUAUUCGGAAGAACACCAGUGGCGAAGGCGACUGACUGGACAAGUAUUGACGCUGAGGUACGAAAGCAUGGGGAGCAAACAGGAUUAGAUACCCCCGUAGUCCCUGUCUCUUAUAC